UACGUAGGGUGCAAGCGUUGUCCGGAAUUAUUGGGCGUAAAGAGCUCGUAGGCGGCUUGUCGCGUCGGCUGUGAAAACCUGGGGCUCAACCCCGGGCCUGCAGUGGGUACGGGCAGACUAGAGUGCGGUAGGGGAGACUGGAAUUCCAGGUGUAGCGGUGAAAUGCGUAGAUAUCUGGAGGAACACCGGUGGCGAAGGCGGCAUCCUGGACCGGCAUUGACGCUGAGGCGCGAAAGCCAGGGGAGCAAACGGG
RNAcentral lists this ribosomal RNA (253 nucleotides) under uncultured bacterium. RNAcentral's name for it is "partial 16S ribosomal RNA". It matches the Rfam family "Bacterial small subunit ribosomal RNA", at positions 524 to 776 of the family's 1533-position model. The record is from RNAcentral.